RNAcentral lists this unclassified non-coding RNA (883 nucleotides) under uncultured fungus. RNAcentral describes it as "sequence contains 18S rRNA gene, ITS1, 5.8S rRNA gene, ITS2, 28S rRNA gene". The record is from RNAcentral. Lineage: Eukaryota; Fungi.
UCGAAGAGGCUACCCGGGCACGCGUGGGGGCGUUUGUGUUCACCAGUACCACGAGCACGUUUGGCCGGGCCCUGGUGCCGCCACCGGGAGCUCCGGCGGCCUGGAUUACCGAGGAUGUGGCCCCGGUGCCCAAAAACAUCUACGGCGUCACGAAGGUCGCGGCCGAGGCCUUGUGUGAACUGUUCCACCACAAGUUCGGGUUGCCGUGCCUGGUCCUGAGAACCUCGCGGUUCUUCCCCGAACAGGAUGACUCGAAGGCGACCCGCGACGCCUACAAGGAUGCCAACGUCAAGGUGAACGAAUACGCGUUCAGGCGGGCGGAUCUCGAGGACAUCGUGGGCGCGCACCUGUGCGCCGUCGAGCGAGCCGGGCGGCUGGGGUUUGGCCGCUACAUCGUCAGUGCCACCACGCCGUUCAUGCCGGACGACCUGGCUGAGCUGCGCACCAACGCGCCGGCCGUCCUGGCUCGCCGGGUGCCCCGCUAUCAGCAGGUAUAUGCCGCGCGAGGCUGGUCGAUGUUUCCCGGCAUCGACCGCGUGUACGACAACGCGCGCGCCCGGCGCGAUCUCGGCUGGCAGCCGAAGUACGACUUCGCCGCCGUGCUGGACCAGAUCGCCGCGGGAGGCCCCGCCGGCAGCCCGCUGGCGCAGCUCGUCGGGUCCAAGGGCUAUCACGCCGGGACAUUUGCCGGCGAACCCUAUCCCGUCGAAUGAGCUAGGCCCCUAUCGCCCGGCGGAGGCGAACGCGAACGCGUACAAGGUGUCGUUGGCGGCCACGACGACGUACUGAACACCAUCGAGCUGAUACGUGAUCGGCCCGUUGGUGAUCGACGCGUGCAGACCGGCGCGCCAGAGCGGGACGCCUCGCGCGGCGUCGAAGGCCA